This 253-nucleotide ribosomal RNA is filed under the name uncultured bacterium. RNAcentral's name for it is "partial 16S ribosomal RNA". It matches the Rfam family "Bacterial small subunit ribosomal RNA", at positions 524 to 776 of the family's 1533-position model. The record is from RNAcentral.
GACAGAGGGUGCAAACGUUGUUCGGAAUUACUGGGCGUAAAGCGAGUGUAGGCGGUUUGGAAAGUCGGAUGUGAAAGCCCCGGGCUCAACCCGGGAAGUGCACUCGAUACUCCCAAGCUAGAGUAUCGGAGAGGUUGGCGGAAUUCUCGGUGUAGAGGUGAAAUUCGUAGAUAUCGGGAGGAACACCAGUGGCGAAGGCGGCUCUCUGGACAGGUACUGACGCUGAGACGCGAAAGCGUGGGUAGCAAACAGG